This 393-nucleotide RNase P RNA is filed under the name Ectothiorhodospiraceae bacterium. RNAcentral describes it as "RNase P RNA component class A". It matches the Rfam family "Bacterial RNase P class A". Rfam says of the family: Ribonuclease P (RNase P) is a ubiquitous endoribonuclease, found in archaea, bacteria and eukarya as well as chloroplasts and mitochondria. Its best characterised activity is the generation of mature 5'-ends of tRNAs by cleaving the 5'-leader elements of precursor-tRNAs. The record is from RNAcentral. Lineage: Bacteria; Pseudomonadati; Pseudomonadota; Gammaproteobacteria; Chromatiales; Ectothiorhodospiraceae.
CAAGUCCAUCGGGCAGCCGCCUUCCUGCAUUCGCCGGGGGGAGGAAAGUCCGAACUCCGCAGGGCAGGGUGCCGGAUAACGUCCGGGCGUCGCAAGGCGACGGAAAGUGCCGCAGAAAAGAUACCGCCCGGCAGUGCCUCGGUACAGCCGGGUAAGGGUGAAAUGGUGCGGUAAGAGCGCACCGGCAGUCCCGGUAACGGGCUGUGCUUGGUAAACCCCACCCGGAGCAAGACCACGUAUAGGCGUCGGUGUAUGUAGCCCGCAUACCGCGCUGCGCAAGCGGAAGGCAGACGCCAGGGUAGGUUGCACGAGCGGGGAAGUGAUUCGCCGCCCAGAUAAAUGGCUGCCGCGCCGCAAGGCGUACAGAAUUCGGCUUAUAGAUGGACUUGCCGU